UGGUUUCAUUUUAUUUAUUUCUUAUCAUACGAUUUAAACACAUUACAGCACUGAAAACUUCUACUACUUGUAGGAAGGCACAUUCAAGCUAUAGUUUUAUCUGAUUUUGAUCAGAAACUGG
This is a long non-coding RNA of Sinocyclocheilus grahami, 121 nucleotides long. RefSeq lists it as uncharacterized. Lineage: Eukaryota; Metazoa; Chordata; Actinopteri; Cypriniformes; Cyprinidae. The record is from RefSeq and is a predicted model, not a curated record. The transcript has 3 exons.